AUUGAACGCUGGCGGCAUGCCUUACACAUGCAAGUCGAACGGUAACGGGCCUUCGGGUGCCGACGAGUGGCGAACGGGUGCGUAAUACAUCGGAACGUUCCCGAUCGUGGGGGAUAACGAGGCGAAAGCUUUGCUAAUACCGCAUACGAUCUACGGAUGAAAGCAGGGGACCGCAAGGCCUUGCGCGGACGGAGCGGCCGAUGGCAGAUUAGGUAGUUGGUGGGAUAAAAGCUUACCAAGCCGACGAUCUGUAGCUGGUCUGAGAGGAUGAUCAGCCACACUGGGACUGAGACACGGCCCAGACUCCUACGGGAGGCAGCAGUGGGGAAUUUUGGACAAUGGGCGCAAGCCUGAUCCAGCCAUGCCGCGUGCAGGAUGAAGGCCUUCGGGUUGUAAACUGCUUUUGUACGGAACGAAAAGCCUUCUUUUAAUACAGGAGGGUCAUGACGGUACCGUAAGAAUAAGCACCGGCUAACUACGUG
Molecule: ribosomal RNA, 482 nt
Filed under: uncultured bacterium
Lineage: Bacteria
Description: partial 16S ribosomal RNA
Rfam family: Bacterial small subunit ribosomal RNA
Source: RNAcentral